This is a long non-coding RNA of Helianthus annuus (common sunflower), 1753 nucleotides long. RefSeq lists it as uncharacterized. The record is from RefSeq and is a predicted model, not a curated record. The transcript is spliced from 5 exons. Lineage: Eukaryota; Viridiplantae; Streptophyta; Magnoliopsida; Asterales; Asteraceae.
UAGCCCCCUAGCCUACGACAACCAUCCCCAUAAUCUCCAUGCCUUGAAAAUUUUCUUUGAUAUGAUUUGAGAUGUUGGUGAUGAUUAUUUUUAUAUACUAUGGGUAUGGAUUAUUAUUUUUUUUCUUUUAUAUGCAAACAUUCAGUUUCAUUUGAGAAGUUACCAAAACAAAACUCAAAUUCCCUCAUCCUUUCUCUCUGUAUCUACGACUACAACAAACACACACAUAUUAGUUUUUCUAAGUUUUAUUCAAUAGUCAAGCUAAGUUCAAGGGUUUCAAGUGGUGAUUCAAGUAUUUUCAAGUCUCAUUCUUCAUUUGCCUUAAAACUUGCAGCCGCACACCUCAUCUGCUCCCUCUCUUCUUCGAACCAGCCACCGGAAAAGCUCCGGUCGAGCUUCAGCCACGAGCUCCCACCACACACAAACACCCAGCCACACUCACAUCCCCUCGUCCUCUUCUCUCUCGUUUUCAAGUCCGGCGAAACACAGGAGGAGCCGGCAAGUAGCAGCGGCGGCACGAUUAGGGUUCCGGCCGCACCCAUAGUGGCGGUGGUGAUGGUUUUCGACAGUGAUGUCCGACGGCAGCAAGUGUUGAGCUUGUAUCGGACCUGCACGUGCUCCAAAUCUGAGCAAAUUGUUCUCUGGUAACUUGGAGCUCCGAUGAACCUCGUCUAGUGUACGUCGACAUCGGUCAAAGUCUUGUUCAGAUUUAUUGGAGUUAACAUCAACUGGGUUUGGCUCGGUUCAGAUUCAUGUCGGGUCACGGUUCGAUUCGGGUUCAGAUUAAGCGGGUCAAAGUUCAGUCAAAGCUAGUUAAACUACAGUUUCGGUUCGGGUCAGAACUGGUCAACGGGUUCGGUUCGGUCAAAGUCAGAUUUUGAUUGGUCAAAGAUGGUCAACUAUCGGGUCAAAACUCGGUCAACGCAAGCCCGGAAUGUCGUAGUUGCACGCUAGCUAAAUACACGUUCUUGGAACAACACUACGGAAUCACGCUAAGCUAGCAUUGCACAGGAAUGUCAAGGUUGCAUUUUCAAAACUAUGGAACGGUUGGAAUAGGAGAACCCAUGGGAAUUCGAGUACUUAGCGGGGUUCAUUUUCGAGAAGUCUUAGCUUAUUUGCUUCCGCUGUGCAAUGAAGAUACCGGUCCAGUCAUGCCAGCUCUGAUAUUUCGAGGUGUGACAUAGUGAGCUUGACAAGAUGAAAGAAAAUUAUUGUUUGAUGUCAAUUACGUGAAAGAGUCGUAUGAUGUGUUGAACAAAACAGUGAAUAGUCUGCAAAAGACAAAUUCUAAAAGAGAAGAUGCUUUAACCAUGAUGAAUGCAGUGAUGAUGUCUAAGCAGAAUGCUAUCAAUCAUUACAUUGAAGAAUGUGCAAAAUUGAAGCAAGAGUUGGAGACAGAAAAGAUAGAAAAUGAAAGAAUCAGACGAUUGUUGCAAAGUUAUUCAAGUUCUGAUUAUUUGAUUAACUGAAUUUAUCCGACUGUUACAAGUUUUGAAGCGUUUCAAGAUAAAAAGACUGAAGAGAAGGAUACUGGAACAAGUUCCAAGUUCUGAAGAGGAGAAAAAGAACUCAUUCUAGAAGCAAUCGAACAAAGAAUUCCUUGCUAAGAAGCAAGAGGGAAUGAAGAAUGGAGUUCAUCAGAAAAAGGAGACAAGAACCUGUUAUAGAUGUCAAGAAGUUGGUCACAUCGCCUGGAACUGUCCAAAGGCAACCAACACAAAACAGGAAGUUGUUUCUAAACUCAAAGAAAAAG